CCUGUUUAACAAAAACAUGUCUUUUUGAGUUAUUUUUAAAGUCUGACCUGCCCACUGAAAAUUUAAAUGGCCGCAGUAUCCUGACUGUGCAAAGGUAGCAUAAUCAUUAGUCUUUUAAUUGAAGGCUGGUAUGAACGGUUGGACGAGGUAUAAGCUGUUUCAUAUAAAUUUAUAAUAGAAUUUUAUAUUUUAGUCAAAAAGCUAAAAUAUUAUUAAAAGACGAGAAGACCCUAUAAAUCUUUAUAUUUUUUGGUGUUUAAGUUUUUUAGGUUUAUUUUAUUUUUACACUAGAAGGUAUUUUGUUGGGGUGAUGUUAAAAUUUAAUGAACUUUUAAUUGUUAAAAUCAUUAAUUUAUGAGUUAUUGAUCCAUUAAUAGUGAUUAUAAGAUUAAGUUACUUUAGGGAUAACAGCGUAAUUUUUUUGGAGAGUUCAUAUCGAUAAAAAAGUUUGCGACCUCGAUGUUGGAUUAAGAUAUAAUUUUAGGUGUAGCCGCUUAAAU
RNAcentral lists this ribosomal RNA (500 nucleotides) under Zeugodacus hululangatiae. RNAcentral describes it as "partial large subunit ribosomal RNA". It matches the Rfam family "Bacterial large subunit ribosomal RNA", at positions 1799 to 2568 of the family's 2925-position model. The record is from RNAcentral. Lineage: Eukaryota; Metazoa; Arthropoda; Insecta; Diptera; Tephritidae.